GCCAGGUGUGGUCACGCGUGCCUGUAGUCCCAGCUACUCAGGAGGCCGAGGCAGGAGAAUCGCUUGAACCCAGGAGGCAGAGGCUGCAGUGAGUCGUGAUGGGGCCACUGCACUCCAUCCUGGGCAACAGAGUGAUACUCUGUCUCAA
This 148-nucleotide non-coding RNA is filed under the name Chlorocebus sabaeus (green monkey). Lineage: Eukaryota; Metazoa; Chordata; Mammalia; Primates; Cercopithecidae. The record is from Rfam by way of RNAcentral.